CCAUGUCUUUGUAAUUGGAAUGAGUAAACUUUAAAUCACUUUACGAGUAUCAAUUGGAGGGCAAGUCUGGUGCCAGCAGCCGCGGUAAUUCCAGCUCCAAUAGCGUAUAUUAAAGUUGUUGCGGUUAAAAAGCUCGUAGUUGGAUUUCUGUUGAGGGCGACCGGUGUACACCUCGUGUAUUAUUUGGUUCGGUCUCGGCAUCCUCUUGGGGAACGUUUCUGGACUUUAUUGGACAGGGCGAGAUUCAAGACUUUUACUUUGAGGAAAUUAGAGUGUUCACGGCAGGCAAGCGCUUUGAAUACAUUAGCAUGGAAUAAUAAUAUAGGACCUUCGUUCUAUUUUGUUGGUUUCUAGAACUUAGGUAAUGAUUAAUAGGGACAAUUGGGGGCAUUCGUAUUAACGCGUCAGAGGUGGAAUUCUUGGAUUGCGUUACGACGAACUACUGCGAAAGCAUUUGCCAAAGAUGUUUUCAUUGAUCAAGAACGAAAGUAUGGGGAUCGAAGACGCUUAGAUACCGUCGUAGUCUAUACCAUAAACUAUGCCAACUAGAGAUUGGUGGGGUUCUCCUAU
This 570-nucleotide ribosomal RNA is filed under the name uncultured dinoflagellate. RNAcentral's name for it is "SSU rRNA". It matches the Rfam family "Eukaryotic small subunit ribosomal RNA", at positions 495 to 1070 of the family's 1831-position model. Lineage: Eukaryota; Dinophyceae. The record is from RNAcentral.